UCUUUCAGGUUGGCUGCAGAAGGGCCGAAGAAAGAGGAGUUACUGGAGGAAGAAGUGGUUCAGAGGUGACUAUUCAACCGUAUAAGAGAUGGUGAAAAUUAACCUAUCACCACUUAUUGCUAAUGAACACCACCCUAUGGAGAACCGAGACACAAAAGGGAAGAUUCAGAAUGUGUGACUUGUAUAAAAUAACACCAGUUUCCCCCGACCCCAACACCUUCUUUGAACAUCUCUUUCCCCACCUCUCAAAAAAUUUCCUACUGAGUUGGUCCUCUAGUGACAAGAGCAGUUAAUAAUAUGGAAAGCAACUGGACAUGGUGAUGAAUAUGCCAGCGAACUUGGGGGUGAGACUGAAGCCCCUCAGGGUGGCUGAGCUGUUAUUUUAAAAAUUCCUUCAAGUCACGUGCGGCCUGUCAAGAGAUGAGGUGAAGGAAGAGAAUGAUAAAUAUCUAUCUCCAGUGGAAAGAUGAUUUUGAAAGAAGGGCUGUUAGAUUAAAAACCAAGCUAGUCAGGGAAUGUUAAAGGAAGAGAAGGUCUCACAAGCAUUUUAAUGCCAACCGUGUGUUCCAAUGAGAGGAACACAGGAAAGCUCUUCAGCAGAUGAGAAAAUGAAAUUCGGCAUCACUAAUUCAUAGGAAUGAUAACAAAAACGGCAGUGAAGAAAAUCUGUGCAUUUUAAAGAACGUAUGUUUUUUGCUAAGUGUUGUCCCUUCCCCUCCUGGCUUUUAGUAUACUGCAUUUAUUAAAGUAGCUGAGAAAAAAAAUAGUAGAUGCUUUUAACGUAAGGCCCGAGAGCUUCCAUAUCCUGUGUUGCAUUGAGUUUUGGGUUUAUUUCCUUAUUCACUGUCUUCUAGAUCUCAGACCCUAGCAGAAGGU
Molecule: long non-coding RNA, 876 nt
Filed under: Pongo abelii (Sumatran orangutan)
Lineage: Eukaryota; Metazoa; Chordata; Mammalia; Primates; Hominidae
Description: lincRNA
Source: RNAcentral